UACAGAGGUGCCGAGCGUUAGGCGGAAUCACUGGGCUUAAAGCGCGUGUAGGCGGGUCGUUAAGUGUCCGCGUGAAAUCCCACGGCUCAACCGUGGAACUGCCGGGCAUACUGGCGACCUUGAGGCACUUAGGGGCGAGCGGAACAAGUGGUGGAGCGGUGAAAUGCGUAGAUAUCACUUGGAACGCCAACGGUGAAAACAGCUCGCUGGGGAUGUACUGACGCUGAGACACGAAAGCCAGGGGAGCAAACGGG
This 254-nucleotide ribosomal RNA is filed under the name uncultured bacterium. RNAcentral's name for it is "partial 16S ribosomal RNA". It matches the Rfam family "Bacterial small subunit ribosomal RNA", at positions 524 to 776 of the family's 1533-position model. The record is from RNAcentral.